This 270-nucleotide long non-coding RNA is filed under the name Lathyrus oleraceus (garden pea). RNAcentral's name for it is "Pisum sativum (pea) long non-coding RNA (PSAT_LNC039392)". The record is from RNAcentral. Lineage: Eukaryota; Viridiplantae; Streptophyta; Magnoliopsida; Fabales; Fabaceae.
UUUAUACAACCAAGCAGCAGCACAAGCAAGUUCUCAAGGAACUAUUAGCAACUAAUGUACCUGAAAUCAAUCAAAUAUAAUCAGUAUACCAAUCACAAAGUCAAACAAACAGCAUAAGAACCAACAAACAAUGUACAAUCAAUCAUCUGUGCAAAGCACAAGCCCAAAGCAAGUGAGCUAAGCAUCCUACAAAACAAACAAGUUAGUUCACAACAAGCAAACAAACUCAAUCAACUUGCAUUAAUCUCCUUAAAGCAUUUGCCUCUUAAC